AAGAACCAUGAUGUCAUUAGUUUGGUGUCUUGGGAAUCAGGACUGUACUUUGAAAAAUUAGAGUGUUAAAGCAAGCUAACGCUUGAAUACAUUAGCAUGGAAUAAUGAAAUAGGACGUUCGAUCCUAUUUUGUUGGUUUCUAGGAUUGACGUAAUGAUUAAUAGGGAUAGUUGGGGGCAUUAGUAUUCAAUUGUCAGAGGUGAAAUUCUUGGAUUUAUUGAAGACUAACUACUGCGAAAGCAUUUGCCAAGGAUGUUUUCAUUAAUCAAGAACGAAAGUUAGGGGGAUCGAAGACGAUCAGAUACCGUCGUAGUCUUAACCAUAAACUAUGCCGACUAGGGAUCGGAUGAUGUUAAUUUUUUAAUGACUCAUUCGGCGCCUUACG
This 385-nucleotide ribosomal RNA is filed under the name uncultured Glomus. RNAcentral describes it as "SSU rRNA". It matches the Rfam family "Eukaryotic small subunit ribosomal RNA", at positions 708 to 1092 of the family's 1831-position model. Lineage: Eukaryota; Fungi; Glomeromycota; Glomeromycetes; Glomerales; Glomeraceae. The record is from RNAcentral.